CUGGAAACUAGGAUUAAAACCAUAUAACACUUCUAGACCGCAUGGUUUGGAAGUCAAAUUGAUUAAGAGGUAUAGGAUGAGUUCGCGUCUGAUUAGCUAGUUGGUGAGGUAAUGGCUCACCAAGGCGACGAUCAGUAGCCGGCCUGAGAGGGUGAACGGCCACACUGGAACUGAGACACGGUCCAGACUCCUACGGGAGGCAGCAGUGGGGAAUAUUGCACAAUGGAGGAAACUCUGAUGCAGCGACGCCGCGUGAGUGAAGAAGGUCUUCGGAUCGUAAAACUCUGUCCUUGGUGAAGAAAAAAUGACGGUAGCCAAGGAGGAAGCCCCGGCUAACUACGUGCCAGCAGCCGCGGUAAUACGUAGGGGGCGAGCGUUGUCCGGAUUUACUGGGCGUAAAGGGUGAGUAGGCGGUAAUAUGUGUCAGAUGUAAAAGGCUAUGGCUUAACCAUAGUUGGCAUUUGAAACUGUAUUACUUGAGUGCAGGAGAGGUAAGUGGAAUUCCUAGUGUAGCGGUGAAAUGCGUAGAUAUUAGGAGGAACACCAGUGGCGAAGGCGACUUUCUGGACUGUAACUGACGCUGAGGCGCGAAAGCGUGGGGAGCAAACAGGAUUAGAUACCCUGGUAGUCCACGCCGUAAACGAUGAGUGCUAGGUGUCCGGUAUCGACCCCUUCCGUGCCGCAGUUAACACAAUAAGCACUCCGCCUGGGGAGUACGGCCGCAAGGUUGAAACUCAAAGGAAUUGACGGGGGCCCGCACAAGCGGUGGAGCAUGUGGUUUAAUUCGACGCAACGCGAAGAACCUUACCAGGGCUUGACAUCCCCCUGACCGCGGUCCGUAACGGGACCUUUCCUUCGGGACAGAGGAGACAGGUGGUGCAUGGUUGUCGUCAGCUCGUGUCGUGAGAUGUUGGGUUAAGUCCCGCAACGAGCGCAACCCUUAUCUUUAGUAGCCAGCACGUAACGGUGGGAACUCUAGAGAGACUGCCGAGGAUAACUCGGAGGAAGGUGGGGAUGACGUCAAAUCAUCAUGCCCCUUAUGAUCUGGGCUACACACGUGCUACAAUGGCGAUAACAAAGGGAAGCAAAAGGGUGACCUCUAGCAAACCUCAUAAACCGAUCCCAGUUCGGAUUGUAGGCUGCAACUCGCCUACAUGAAGUUGGAGUUGCUAGUAAUCGCGAAUCAGAACGUCGCGGCGAAUGCGUUCCCGGGUCUUGUACACACCGCCCGUCACACCAUGGAAGUUGG
Molecule: ribosomal RNA, 1249 nt
Filed under: uncultured bacterium
Lineage: Bacteria
Description: bacterial SSU rRNA
Rfam family: Bacterial small subunit ribosomal RNA
Source: RNAcentral